Molecule: long non-coding RNA, 223 nt
Filed under: Nicotiana benthamiana
Lineage: Eukaryota; Viridiplantae; Streptophyta; Magnoliopsida; Solanales; Solanaceae
Description: long non-coding RNA (NBEN_LNC019109)
Source: RNAcentral
GUCAUGAUGGCGCCCAACAACCUUGCCGAGCUAGCCAAGUGCAGAAUAUUACUAACAAUUCAUAUAGAAAUAUACUCAAUGUUAGAUGAAAUACUCAUUAGCUUGGGUUUAUAACCAACAGAAUAUAAAUUUGAGUACUAUCGAGGGUCGAACGGCCCGUACCAUAGAUGCAUCUAUUUCACUGAGGCGAUCAGCCCGAUCCACAAAUAUCAAGACGACAUUA